RNAcentral lists this ribosomal RNA (1068 nucleotides) under Vibrio diabolicus. RNAcentral's name for it is "bacterial SSU rRNA". It matches the Rfam family "Bacterial small subunit ribosomal RNA", at positions 465 to 1532 of the family's 1533-position model. Lineage: Bacteria; Pseudomonadati; Pseudomonadota; Gammaproteobacteria; Vibrionales; Vibrionaceae. The record is from RNAcentral.
UCGUUUGACGUUAGCUGCAGAAGAAGCACCGGCUAACUCCGUGCCAGCAGCCGCGGUAAUACGGAGGGUGCGAGCGUUAAUCGGAAUUACUGGGCGUAAAGCGCAUGCAGGUGGUUUGUUAAGUCAGAUGUGAAAGCCCGGGGCUCAACCUCGGAAUAGCAUUUGAAACUGGCAGACUAGAGUACUGUAGAGGGGGGUAGAAUUUCAGGUGUAGCGGUGAAAUGCGUAGAGAUCUGAAGGAAUACCGGUGGCGAAGGCGGCCCCCUGGACAGAUACUGACACUCAGAUGCGAAAGCGUGGGGAGCAAACAGGAUUAGAUACCCUGGUAGUCCACGCCGUAAACGAUGUCUACUUGGAGGUUGUGGCCUUGAGCCGUGGCUUUCGGAGCUAACGCGUUAAGUAGACCGCCUGGGGAGUACGGUCGCAAGAUUAAAACUCAAAUGAAUUGACGGGGGCCCGCACAAGCGGUGGAGCAUGUGGUUUAAUUCGAUGCAACGCGAAGAACCUUACCUACUCUUGACAUCCAGAGAACUUUCCAGAGAUGGAUUGGUGCCUUCGGGAACUCUGAGACAGGUGCUGCAUGGCUGUCGUCAGCUCGUGUUGUGAAAUGUUGGGUUAAGUCCCGCAACGAGCGCAACCCUUAUCCUUGUUUGCCAGCGAGUAAUGUCGGGAACUCCAGGGAGACUGCCGGUGAUAAACCGGAGGAAGGUGGGGACGACGUCAAGUCAUCAUGGCCCUUACGAGUAGGGCUACACACGUGCUACAAUGGCGCAUACAGAGGGCGGCCAACUUGCGAAAGUGAGCGAAUCCCAAAAAGUGCGUCGUAGUCCGGAUUGGAGUCUGCAACUCGACUCCAUGAAGUCGGAAUCGCUAGUAAUCGUGGAUCAGAAUGCCACGGUGAAUACGUUCCCGGGCCUUGUACACACCGCCCGUCACACCAUGGGAGUGGGCUGCAAAAGAAGUAGGUAGUUUAACCUUCGGGGGGACGCUUACCACUUUGUGGUUCAUGACUGGGGUGAAGUCGUAACAAGGUAGCGCUAGGGGAACCUGGCGCUGGAUCACCUCCUU